GCCUGUAAUGCGCACGACGGUUAACAUGUCAUUACAAUCUCCUUCUGGUUGCCAAUUUACUGCAGCAACAACAGAAGCAUAUUUAGUCACUUGCCAAGUGGCACCACAUGUGUUGGCGUCCUUCAGAGUGGGACAGGACUGAAGCCCGCUUCUCCAGCGUCACAGUUGAUGGGACACGCGUUCUU
This is a long non-coding RNA of Haliotis rubra (blacklip abalone), 185 nucleotides long. RefSeq lists it as uncharacterized. NCBI's taxonomy places the organism in Eukaryota, Metazoa, Mollusca, Gastropoda, Lepetellida, Haliotidae. The record is from RefSeq and is a predicted model, not a curated record. The transcript has 2 exons.